Molecule: ribosomal RNA, 719 nt
Filed under: Enterococcus faecium
Lineage: Bacteria; Bacillati; Bacillota; Bacilli; Lactobacillales; Enterococcaceae
Description: bacterial SSU rRNA
Rfam family: Bacterial small subunit ribosomal RNA
Source: RNAcentral
AACGGGUGAGUAACACGUGGGUAACCUGCCCAUCAGAAGGGGAUAACACUUGGAAACAGGUGCUAAUACCGUAUAACAAUCAAACCGCAUGGUUUUGAUUUGAAAGGCGCUUUCGGGUGUCGCUGAUGGAUGGACCCGCGGUGCAUUAGCUAGUUGGUGAGGUAACGGCUCACCAAGGCCACGAUGCAUAGCCGACCUGAGAGGGUGAUCGGCCACAUUGGGACUGAGACACGGCCCAAACUCCUACCGGAGGCCGCCGUAGGGAAUCUUCGGCAAUGGACGAAAGUCUGACCUAGCUACGCCGCGCGAGUAAAGAAGGUUUUCCGAUCGUAAAACUCUGUUGUUAGAGAAGAACAAGGAUGAGAGUAACUGUUCAUCCCUUGACGGUAUCUUACCAGAAAGCGACGGCUAACUACGUGCCAACAGCCGCGGUAAUACGUAGACCUGCAAGCGUUGUCCGGAUUUAUUGGGCGUAAAGCGAGCGCAGGCGGUUUCUUAAGUCUGAUGUGAAAGCCCCCGGCUCAACCGGGGAGGGUCAUUGGAAACUGGGAGACUUGAGUGCAGAAGAGGAGAGUGCAAUUCCAUGUGUAGCGGUUCAAUGCGUAGAUAUAUGGAGUAUCACCGGUGGCGAAGGCGGCUCUCUGGUCUGUAACUGACGCUGAGGCUUUGAAAGCGUGGGGAGCAAACAGGAUUAGAUACCCUGGUAGUCCACGGCGGUA